RNAcentral lists this long non-coding RNA (704 nucleotides) under Gallus gallus (chicken). Lineage: Eukaryota; Metazoa; Chordata; Aves; Galliformes; Phasianidae. The record is from RNAcentral.
CCAGGCCUGCCUGCAGCCGGUCCCGGUGACACCGGAGCCCUGUGGCGCUGUCACCAUCCUCUGUCCCGAGGACGGGAGGUGAACUCUGUGCCACCAGCAGAGGGGACCACGGGUGACAUCAGUGUGGAACAGCCGUGACGCGGCGGCGUUGUCAUUGGGUGUCACCGUCACGCAGAGGGGACAAAAGGACCCCCCUGGGGGCAUUGCGUCGAAGUUGGGGACACCGUGAGCAGCUUGAGGACUUCCCAGGGGAAGUGGGGGCACCGCGUCACCGUGUCACACCCCAAAGUUGGGGACACCUCUGUGUCACCCCAAUGGUGUCCGACCCAAAGCUGGGGACACUCCACAGUGUCACACCCCAAAGUUGGGGACGCCCCGACAGUGUCACAUCUCAAAGUUGGGACAGCUCUGUGUCCCCCCGAUGGUGUCAGACCCCAAAGUUGGGGACGCCCCCACAGUGUCACAGCCCAAAGUUGGGGUCUGUCCCAGAGGUGGGAGUGCCCCCACAUCCCCACCAUGGCGUCACAUCCCAAAGUUGGGGACCCCCUCUGGGGACCCAUUCAGUGCGUCCCCCAUUGCAGACCGCACUGUUCCCAUGGGGUGGGGGCGGGGGGCACCCUUUAUUUUUGGGAUUAAAGUUUAUUUCGUGAUAAAGGGGUGUUGGGGGAUGCCCCCCCUACGUGAAUAAAGGGCAGAGGAGCGGC